Molecule: transfer RNA, 73 nt
Filed under: Capito niger
Lineage: Eukaryota; Metazoa; Chordata; Aves; Piciformes; Ramphastidae
Description: tRNA-Asn
Rfam family: tRNA
About the family: Transfer RNA (tRNA) molecules are approximately 80 nucleotides in length. Their secondary structure includes four short double-helical elements and three loops (D, anti-codon, and T loops).
Source: RNAcentral
CUUAAACGGAAGCCCGUUGGAUAAGGCACCUAGCUGUUAACUAGGAGUUUGUGGGAUCGAGGCCCACCCGUUU